GGGUCGGUAGGUUGGUCGUGCCACCGGUACGUACUGGUCUCACUGAUUCCUCCUUCCUGAAGAACGGUAAUGCCAUUAAUUUGGUGUUGCGGGGAAACAGGACUGUUACUUUGAAAAAAUUAGAGUGUUUAAAGCAAGCUAACGCUUGAAUACAUUAGCAUGGAAUAAUGAAAUAGGACGAUCGAUCCUAUUUUGUUGGUUUCUAGGAUUGACGUA
RNAcentral lists this ribosomal RNA (216 nucleotides) under Glomeromycotina sp. RNAcentral's name for it is "partial small subunit ribosomal RNA". The stretch from base 40 to 216 matches the Rfam family "Eukaryotic small subunit ribosomal RNA", at positions 686 to 864 of the family's 1831-position model. The record is from RNAcentral. Lineage: Eukaryota; Fungi; Glomeromycota.